This 982-nucleotide unclassified non-coding RNA is filed under the name Hevea brasiliensis (rubber tree). Lineage: Eukaryota; Viridiplantae; Streptophyta; Magnoliopsida; Malpighiales; Euphorbiaceae. The record is from RNAcentral.
GCCCCGUCCGCUAUAAAAGAGGGCUUGCCAACUGCCUGCCUUUUCGAAGCUCUCCUGUACAAACUCCAUUACUUAGUUUUUCUCCAUCUCUACCAUGGCUGACGCAGCUGCAACGCCGCCUACUGAUCCAGCAAGCACGGCGCCACCUGCUACGACUGAUCCAGCAAGCACGACGCCGCCUGCUAGUACUGAUCCAGCAAACACGACGCCGCCUACUAGUACUGAUCCAGCUGAUCCAGUAGCAGAAGAUGAGAGGAAACUUAAAUAUCUGGAUUUCGUUCAAGUUGCAGCGAUCUAUGUGAUUGUUUGCUUCUCAACUUUGUAUGAAUACGGCAAAGAAAACUCCGGUCCGUUGAAACCUGGUGUACAGGCCGUAGAAGCCACUGUUAAAACUGUUAUCGGACCGGUUUAUGAGAAGUUCCAUAACGUUCCUUUCAAUCUCCUCAAGUUCAUCGACCUAAAGGUUGCAGACUUGAUGACAGAAGUUGAAAGCCAUGUGCCUUCUCUACUAAAGCAGACAUCAUCUAAAGCUCUGUUAAUAGCUCAGAAGGCUCCAGAAUUAGCUCGAGAUCUCGCCGGCGAGGUACAGCACGAUGGCUUAGUGGACACAGCGAGCAACGUAGCUAAAACACUCUACACAAAGUACGAACCCACAGUCAAGGAGCUAUACACAAAAUACGAGCCAGUGAUCGAGAAAAAUGCGGUUUUGGCAUGGAGAUCUCUGAAUAAGCUUCCUUUGUUCCCUCAAGUGGCUCAGAUUUUAGUGCCGACGGCUGCUUAUUGGAGUGAGAAAUACAAUCAAGCGGUGACAUAUGCGUCGGAGAACGGCUAUACGGCGGCGCAUUAUUUACCGAUUAUUCCCGUAGAGAGGAUCGCGAAGGUGUUUGAAGGCGGCGCCACCGCUGAAAACGAGCAGUCCGUUCCCUUGACCGACGGCACUGUUGCUCCGGCGCAAUGACCAUUUUACAUUACUGUACUGGGG